CACACAGAAUUGGGCCAAAUACAGAGAAGAUUGGCAUGGCCCUAGUACAAGGAUGGCACACAGAUAGGUGAGGCAUUUCAUGAAAAA
This 87-nucleotide small nuclear RNA is filed under the name Erinaceus europaeus (western European hedgehog). The record is from RNAcentral. Lineage: Eukaryota; Metazoa; Chordata; Mammalia; Eulipotyphla; Erinaceidae.